UUGAAAAAUGGAUUAUACCAAGGAAAAUGGAACUCGAAAUGAUCUGCCUGAGUGGGAUCAAGAUCUGUUUUAUGUAAUGCAAGUUUUUGAGUGAUGGCUUUGUGUCCAAUACAGCGAAGCUGUAAUUCUUAAUUUGAGUGCCGUGACGACCUUGGGUGAGAUAGCGUGGAACACAAAAGCAGAGUGAUGGGACUUGGGACAAGUUUUAUGACACGGGAACACCUUGAAACGGCCAAAAUGAAACUUUUAGAUGGCAUGCCAAAACCAGAUACGGAAGCUGUCGAACCAACUGAUCUGGCUUGUCCUCAGUUGGUCACAACGACCUUGACAAGACCAUAAAACUCUUACCAUACAAGACCGUCACCAAACAACUCGAUUUGCUUUCUGUCAAAGGAAAACGUGAAAAUUGAAAACGGCCCUUGCUCACUAACUCACUCACUUGGUUCAAUCCAGUUCAAGCUCUGUGUUCGGGACUGAGGUCUACGAUCAACUAAGUGCCAGUGUUGUUCCAUUAACGAUUGUGUUCCACGAACCCAUACUAACCCGGUAACCAACCAACCAACCAGCCAACCAACGAAGCAACCAACGAAGCAAUUCUGUUCACCAACCAGCCAGCUAGCCAGCCAAGGCCAAGAAUUGGCUUCCGUGACCACUUGGGAACUUGUCAGCGCCCCUCGAACAGAUCAACACAAGAUUGAAGAGCACCCGGAAUCCCUCGUGAUAAACAGAGAGGCCUUCUUCCUACCUGAAGAGCUCCAUUUCGGCGGAUCUGUCCCGGGCGCGUCCCACCUGGAAGCUGGACGAUCCCACGAUGCUACCCCCUCCGUUGUAGCUGCUCCCUGCGCUAGACACGCUGGAUCGGGAACGACUGGUGCUUGAGGUCCGGGAUCGGCUGGAGGACCUCAUCUUGCUUUGGUUGGCCACAGUAAUCAUGGAUCGAGGUGAGGUUUGGCAGUGGUGUCGACAAUUGAAAGUGUUCUCGGAGGAACACUUGAAAGUGACUUUGGGUUGACCUGGGUAUGGAACCCU
Long non-coding RNA from Tigriopus californicus, 1029 nucleotides. RefSeq lists it as uncharacterized. Lineage: Eukaryota; Metazoa; Arthropoda; Copepoda; Harpacticoida; Harpacticidae. The transcript is spliced from 2 exons. The record is from RefSeq and is a predicted model, not a curated record.